CGAUGAUCUCUUUAUCUUUGU
Molecule: non-coding RNA, 21 nt
Filed under: Arabidopsis thaliana (thale cress)
Lineage: Eukaryota; Viridiplantae; Streptophyta; Magnoliopsida; Brassicales; Brassicaceae
Source: RNAcentral